AAGGCAGCUAUAAAGAUUUGAAGUUCUUUAUCCAUACAACAGGUACUCCAGGGGCAGCAGCAGUGCAGACGUGCCCACACUGGUCCUGCCAGUGUACAUCAGUCCUACCAUGGGAUGUAGAUUGCCCACAGGGUCACCGUCCAUUAUACCCAUUCAGUCUUUGGCCUCU
This 169-nucleotide small RNA is filed under the name Gopherus agassizii (Agassiz's desert tortoise). Its description in RNAcentral is "TUC338 (ENSGAGG00000016436.1)". Lineage: Eukaryota; Metazoa; Chordata; Testudines; Testudinidae. The record is from RNAcentral.